UGUAGUUCCUUGGUCUUUCUCUUUGUACAAUUAGUAGAGGAAAGUAUUACUAUUAGUUCCGCUCGUGCCAUUGUUUACACCACCACGGUAUGCACGAGGAGUCUACAAAGUAGUCGUGAAAACUAGCGUUCACGGACUGCCUGGCACUGUUGAUCUAAUACCUACGCUUUUGCAAUAAUUAUCGCGUCCGCACUUUGCAUUUGUUGAAUAAAAUGAAGCGAGAUUCGCUUGCAACGGUUUUCUUCUUGAACUUGGAGUCAUCGUUCACGCACAUAGCACAGGUCAGUGAACGUGUGGGCUUGUACUUGCAGCUAACUGCUGGUUCUGAGGCUGGAUUUCUGCUUGGCUCAAGCCGAGGUUCUCUUUACAUCCAGGAGUUGUACUAGCAUUCGCUACAAUGCCCGAGUUGCUAGCGGUUGUAUUCGCUAGAAUGCUGCUGACUUGCUAGCAGUUUUAUUCGCUAGAAUGCUACUGAGUAGCUAGCGGUUCAUACUGCGCCAGCUCUGGGAUGGACCAGGAACCUGCUAUUGACGUUCAGGCGUUUACGUUGACAUAGUCAGCCCUCACAUUCACUUUCCACUCAGUCAGUCUUUCACUGUUUCAUUUGCUGAUGACAAAUGGACUGUGGUUCCAGUGGCUUGUACAAGACACCAAAGUCAUAAUAUUAUGAUGAGUUCCCAAAGACGAAACAGUUCUGACAGUUCUGUCUGCAGAUUGAGUGACUGGCCAUUGCACGUGUUGGCUGCCGGUGACCGGAUAGUAAACGGAUACUCUGAGAAUCAGUAACGACUGUGCUGGCCGUGGCACAUCAUCUUCACCGACCCAGGGGCUGCUGCGUUCCGACAUGUCAUGGCAGCACCAUGGCUAUCAUUAUCAAUGACAGCAAAGCAACAUUGCCAACGGUGCCCGGAAGCAGUAGCAGUGCCCGGAAGCAGCAACAGUGCCCAGAAGCAGUAGCAGUGCCCGGAAGCAGCAACAGUGCCCGGAAGCAGUAGCAGCAAUUAUUAGUACAGCUGCAUGACCUAGCAGGAGGAGCAGUAGCAGCAGAUUUUUAUAAUCUGAUGUAUUCCUACACUCUAUUCCACCGUUGUAUACUGUUCAGGGGCCGAUGUGAGACUGACGUAUGCUCAGCAGUGCACUAGUGUAAGACAGCUGGAUCGGAAAUGCUGACUGCCGAUGUCAUUCUGCACCAUAGUACUACUGACUGUAGAUUCUCCUGGAUAUCCGAUAGUGAUACGCUGACUGAAAACAGGAAUUAGUCACACUCAGUGUUACUUGCACUAGCAGCAUACACACUAUGUCUAACGCUAGUAUAGACAUUAUCGGACAAACAGUCUCAUCAUGGUGAAUCUGCAUUGCAAGGUGAAUUGAAUGUGGUGAGGAAUGCUGAAACAUAAGAACCUGUGGGCAGCAGCAGUGGAAGCACCUGCACUACCAGCAACAGCACCAACAGCAGCACCACCACCAACAGCAGCACCACCAGCAGCAGCAGCACCACCAGCAGCAGCAGCACCACCACCAGCAUCACCACCAGCAUCACCACCAGCACCAGCACCAGCACCACCACUACGAGCAGCAGCACCACCACCACCAGCAGCAGCAGCAGCACCACCAUGAGCACCAGCAGGAAACAUGACCAGCACAAGCAGGACUGACUACCUUCAGUUCUGUUACCAUCAUUGAGUAUGAAAAGUGUCAUGGAUGCUAUGCUUGGUGCUCUGGAAGAUGUGCGUUGACAUUGAAACUUGAAAUGCCAGUCACAGUCCGAGUAACGUAUUUUCUAUUUUGCUGCUUGUUUGUGUUGCUCACAGUCAUUGUUCCUAUCGACAAUUAUUCCUACUCAAACUCAUUGUGAUGUCAUUAUGUCGUUGUGAUGGCAUUAUGUCGUUGUGAUGUCAUUAUGUCAUUAUGAUGUCAGUGUUGUGAUGCAAUAAAGUGGUGCUGGUUCUCUUU
Molecule: long non-coding RNA, 1953 nt
Organism: Sycon ciliatum
Lineage: Eukaryota; Metazoa; Porifera; Calcarea; Leucosolenida; Sycettidae
Exons: 3
Source: RefSeq, a predicted model, not a curated record